AUUGAACGCUGGCGGCAGGCCUAACACAUGCAAGUCGAACGAGUGGCGGACGGGUGAGUAAUGUAUGGGAAACUGCCCGAUGGAGGGGGAUAACUACUGUAAACGGUAGCUAAUACCGCAUACCCUCGGAUGAGCCCAGAUGGGAUUAGCUAGUAGGUGGGGUAAUGGCUCACCUAGGCGUCGAUCCCUAGCUGGUCUGGGAGGAUGACCAGCCACACUGGAACUGAGAAAAGGUCCAGACUCCUACGGGGGGCAGCAGUGGGGAAUAUUGCACAAUGGGCGCAAGCCUGAUGCAGCCAUGCCGCGUGUAUGAAGAAGGCCUUCGGGUUGUAAAGUACUUUCAGCGAGGAGGCGUUACUCGCAGAAGAAGCACCGGCUAACUCCGUGCCAGCCGCCGCGGUAAUAC
RNAcentral lists this ribosomal RNA (406 nucleotides) under uncultured bacterium. Its description in RNAcentral is "partial 16S ribosomal RNA". It matches the Rfam family "Bacterial small subunit ribosomal RNA", at positions 30 to 526 of the family's 1533-position model. The record is from RNAcentral.